This 842-nucleotide long non-coding RNA is filed under the name Rattus norvegicus (Norway rat). Its description in RNAcentral is "long non-coding RNA NONRATT002872". Lineage: Eukaryota; Metazoa; Chordata; Mammalia; Rodentia; Muridae. The record is from RNAcentral.
UUUUUUCUUUCAUGUAGUGAAAUGAAAAGAUCCAAAUCUUCAGUCAAAGGUAGCAAAAUUAGAUGCCAUUGCCUAAAAUGUGUUUUGCUGAGUUUCCAAAUGGAUGGAUGGUUAAAGGCAUUGGAAUUGGUCUGCAUUGGAAAGAUGCUAGUUUAGUUCUACUGUACCUGAAGCUAUGGAAAUUUAGAUUUUGUUUUCUCAAAGUUGGAUCCCGGAGGUUGAAGUUAGAGUUUGAAGUUGAAAAUCAUUUUGAAGGCAGACUCGAUAAAGUAGUGAGGGUGAAGCCCUUACUUUCUUCUCAACAGACAUAAUAAACAUCACCUGCAUGAGUUAGCAGGUGGGAGAACCAAACUGGAUCCCUGGGUAGGAGUACUCAGUAAAGCAACACACUGUUUGCUUAGAGAAGCAUCACUAUCCCCAUUGAGAAAAAAUGGGUGAUUCAGUGCCCCCAAAUUCAACUCUGUGGGGAAAACUAUUGAGCCAGUUGUGAGUGUUGUGUUCCAACUGGCAGACUCGAUUCUUUGUCAUCGUUGUUCUUGUUGUUGCUGUUGUUGUUUCGCAUUUCCACUUGCACAGCCUUAUUGUCAUAAUUAAACUCUGAUUCAUUUUCUCUUUGGUGUUAGCAAACUCCAAUGACAGAAGUGGCAUCUGUGUAUUGAUAAUCAGCAUUUACCCUGGCAGGGGACUAAUCAGAUAGGCUGGUCUCAGACAUUAAUCCUACCAUCUGAUAUUUCCAGCAAAAGAGAAAGUGUUAGUUCCCUUUCCAUUCCCCUCCUCAUGAAUCUAGAAGCCCUCUGUACCAAGAGCAUCACAUUUUUCUCUGUAAUCUUAAAAAAAAAAAG